AUUGAACGCUGGCGGCAGGCCUAACACAUGCAAGUCGAACGGUAACAGGAAGAAGCUUGCUUCUUUGCUGACGAGUGGCGGACGGGUGAGUAAUGUCUGGGAAACUGCCUGAUGGAGGGGGAUAACUACUGGAAACGGUAGCUAAUACCGCAUAACGUCGCAAGACCAAAGAGGGGGACCUUCGGGCCUCUUGCCAUCGGAUGUGCCCAGAUGGGAUUAGCUAGUAGGUGGGGUAACGGCUCACCUAGGCGACGAUCCCUAGCUGGUCUGAGAGGAUGACCAGCCACACUGGAACUGAGACACGGUCCAGACUCCUACGGGAGGCAGCAGUGGGGAAUAUUGCACAAUGGGCGAAAAGCCUGAUGCAGCGACGCCGCGUGAAGGAUGAAGUAUUCGGUAUGUAAACUCUAUCAGCAGGGAAGAAAUGACGGUACCUGACUAAGAAGCCCC
Molecule: ribosomal RNA, 450 nt
Filed under: uncultured bacterium
Lineage: Bacteria
Description: bacterial SSU rRNA
Rfam family: Bacterial small subunit ribosomal RNA
Source: RNAcentral